GACGAACGCUGGCGGCGUGCUUAACACAUGCAAGUCGAACGUGAUUUUUGUGGAAAGCCCUUCGGGGACGGAAGCGAAAUGAAAGUGGCGAACGGGUGAGUAACACGUGAGCAACCUACCUUACACAGGGGGAUAGCCGUUGGAAACGACGAUUAAUACCGCAUGAGACCACAAAGCCACAUGGCUUAGGGGUAAAAGAU
This 200-nucleotide ribosomal RNA is filed under the name uncultured bacterium. RNAcentral describes it as "partial 16S ribosomal RNA". It matches the Rfam family "Bacterial small subunit ribosomal RNA", at positions 28 to 208 of the family's 1533-position model. The record is from RNAcentral.